GGAGAUUAGUAACGAGUGAUUGAGAUAACGAUUGUUACGAGUUAAGUGACAGGUGAUACUAGUGAAAUACGUCCGGAAGCGGUCUAGGGACUUGCUGGUAACGGAAACAGUAAGGGACUCGUUCGAAAUCAUAAAUAGCGAAGGCCAGGGAUCAGUACAACGGCGUUGGUAAUGAAGGCAACGAUUCUUGGAUGUCCGGAUACUGGUGGUUGACGCUACUGAAUCUGACAAAGGGGACAAUUGUAACCACGGCUUGGACCAUCCCAAAACCUCCGUUCGGAAUUUUUAUCAGGGACGGCGAUUUAGAGCAAAGGAGAGAACGGACAGUAGGGACUUGAUCCUUCUGCGUCACUAUGAGAUCCAAUGGAACCUCGCCGAUUUCAAGGAGGCGAAAGAAGGACCCGAUUAAUCGACGUACCCAGCGAGGGCGAAAACCUUAGAACGAUUUCUGGGGACCCCAGAGCUCAACAGACCGGAAAACCACGUUCCUGAAAAGGCGGCAUCAGGGAGAGUUUGCGAAAUUAGGAAGGGUAAACUGCCUAGAAUAUCGCGCCUCGAACCUAGGGUCAUUUCGCAACUGUUUUGUAGAGUAUUAUACAAAUUACGGAAUUCAAUCUGGGGAAUCGAAGGGAAUAAGCAUGGGAGCGGAUCAGACCCAACAACCGCCUACGGGUCAAACAAUCCGAAAUCCCUCGCGCGUGGUAGCUUGUACGAUUCUCUGGACCGAAAUUAUAAUCGAUUGAAGAUCUGUUUACAACCGCACGCGACUUUCUGUCUAUUACGCGAGGCUACUUUCCGUCGCAGGGAACGUCUCCACAAUCUUCCCGUCAAAUGCUGGACUUCUCGGUCUAUUCAGGCAAACGUCGGCCUUCUGGGACACUACAGAGUUCGUGCCGCGUAUCGUAGGUUUUCGAACAGCAUCGUCACCGAGCUUCCGAUCUUGCGCAAUCGUUCGGAAAGUUGAUUUUUGUCCCGGGCCUUCGACCUUUACAUCUGCAAGAUCUGGUGCCGGACGAUUUCCGAAUCUCGUACAACGGGCUCGAAAAAAGUUCGGCGUAACAGUAUGUACAAAAACUACUGUUAUAGAAUCAAAAAGAAAUAUUUAGAGCCUAGAGGAAACAAAACAGAAGCAUCUUCAUGAUUUUUAAAUAUCCUUUUUAACAGGUUUGGUGAAAUAUUUUAUAUAUCUUUUAAUAAUGUUUUUUUUUAUAUCCAGAAACUGUUUUCUACUUCUGGCAGCAAUUUAUAAUAUGUAUUACUUUUCCUCCUUAGUUUUUGUUAAUAUGUCAUUAUAUUCUUACAUGAGUUUAUCACCACGUUCAGCUGUGUCAUUUAUAAGUUUUAAUUCUCGUGCUCUUCGUAUAAAUCAGAAUCUUUUCUGAAAGCUCAGAGUGUUUGAAAAUUCUUGCAAAGAGUUUUGUUAAAUGUUGGAAAAUAAAAUAUUUUAUAACGCUGUGAAUCUAGAUUUCGUGAGCUUCGUGCUCUUUAUAUACAUAUACGUAUACUAUAGAAUGUUGUUAUUACUAUGUUGUAUAAAAUGUUAUUACUAUGCA
This is a long non-coding RNA of Megalopta genalis, 1553 nucleotides long. RefSeq lists it as uncharacterized. NCBI's taxonomy places the organism in Eukaryota, Metazoa, Arthropoda, Insecta, Hymenoptera, Halictidae. The record is from RefSeq and is a predicted model, not a curated record.